CAUGCAAGUCGAACGAACUCUGGUAUUGAUUGGUGCUUGCAUCAUGAUUUACAUUUGAGUGAGUGGCGAACUGGUGAGUAACACGUGGGAAACCUGCCCAGAAGCGGGGGAUAACACCUGGAAACAGAUGCUAAUACCGCAUAACAACUUGGACCGCAUGGUCCGAGUUUGAAAGAUGGCUUCGGCUAUCACUUUUGGAUGGUCCCGCGGCGUAUUAGCUAGAUGGUGGGGUAACGGCUCACCAUGGCAAUGAUACGUAGCCGACCUGAGAGGGUAAUCGGCCACAUUGGGACUGAGACACGGCCCAAACUCCUACGGGAGGCAGCAGUAGGGAAUCUUCCACAAUGGACGAAAGUCUGAUGGAGCAACGCCGCGUGAGUGAAGAAGGGUUUCGGCUCGUAAAACUCUGUUGUUAAAGAAGAACAUAUCUGAGAGUAACUGUUCAGGUAUUGACGGUAUUUAACCAGAAAGCCACGGCUAACUACGUGCCAGCAGCCGCGGUAAUACGUAGGUGGCAAGCGUUGUCCGGAUUUAUUGGGCGUAAAGCGAGCGCAGGCGGUUUUUUAAGUCUGAUGUGAAAGCCUUCGGCUCAACCGAAGAAGUGCAUCGGAAACUGGGAAACUUGAGUGCAGAAGAGGACAGUGGAACUCCAUGUGUAGCGGUGAAAUGCGUAGAUAUAUGGAAGAACACCAGUGGCGAAGGCGGCUGUCUGGUCUGUAACUGACGCUGAGGCUCGAAAGUAUGGGUAGCAAACAGGAUUAGAUACCCUGGUAGUCCAUACCGUAAACGAUGAAUGCUAAGUGUUGGAGGGUUUCCGCCCUUCAGUGCUGCAGCUAACGCAUUAAGCAUUCCGCCUGGGGAGUACGGCCGCAAGGCUGAAACUCAAAGGAAUUGACGGGGGCCCGCACAAGCGGUGGAGCAUGUGGUUUAAUUCGAAGCUACGCGAAGAACCUUACCAGGUCUUGACAUACUAUGCAAAUCUAAGAGAUUAGACGUUCCCUUCGGGGACAUGGAUACAGGUGGUGCAUGGUUGUCGUCAGCUCGUGUCGUGAGAUGUUGGGUUAAGUCCCGCAACGAGCGCAACCCUUAUUAUCAGUUGCCAGCAUUAAGUUGGGCACUCUGGUGAGACUGCCGGUGACAAACCGGAGGAAGGUGGGGAUGACGUCAAAUCAUCAUGCCCCUUAUGACCUGGGCUACACACGUGCUACAAUGGAUGGUACAACGAGUUGCGAACUCGCGAGAGUAAGCUAAUCUCUUAAAGCCAUUCUCAGUUCGGAUUGUAGGCUGCAACUCGCCUACAUGAAGUCGGAAUCGCUAGUAAUCGCGGAUCAGCAUGCCGCGGUGAAUACGUUCCCGGGCCUUGUACACACCGCCCGUCACACCAUGAGAGUUUGUAACACCCAAAGUCGGUGGGGUAACCUUUUAGGAACCAGCCCG
RNAcentral lists this ribosomal RNA (1437 nucleotides) under Lactiplantibacillus plantarum. Its description in RNAcentral is "bacterial SSU rRNA". It matches the Rfam family "Bacterial small subunit ribosomal RNA". Lineage: Bacteria; Bacillati; Bacillota; Bacilli; Lactobacillales; Lactobacillaceae. The record is from RNAcentral.